This 270-nucleotide ribosomal RNA is filed under the name Microchaetus vernoni. RNAcentral describes it as "partial 16S ribosomal RNA". The stretch from base 1 to 165 matches the Rfam family "Bacterial large subunit ribosomal RNA", at positions 2481 to 2645 of the family's 2925-position model. The record is from RNAcentral. Lineage: Eukaryota; Metazoa; Annelida; Clitellata; Crassiclitellata; Microchaetidae.
GCUAAUCCCACUAAAGAGUCCCUAUCAAUAGUGGGGAUUGGCACCUCGAUGUUGGCUUAGGGUAUCUUUACGGCGCAAAAGUCGUAAACAGAUAGUUUGUUCAACUAGUAAAUCCCUACAUGAGCUGAGUUCAGACCGGCGCAAGCCAGGUUAGCUUCUAUCCUCAAUUAUCAAGACCUACUUACAGUACGAAAGGACCUAAAUACGGAUAAUAAUUAUAAUAAUAGAAUAAAUAUAACAAAAUUUAAAUAACCACAAUAGCACACUACU